Myotis myotis is the source of this 107-nucleotide small nuclear RNA. The record is from RefSeq and is a predicted model, not a curated record. NCBI's taxonomy places the organism in Eukaryota, Metazoa, Chordata, Mammalia, Chiroptera, Vespertilionidae.
GUUCUUUUUUUGGUAGCACAUAUAAUAAAAUUGGAAGCAUACGGAGAGGAUUAGCAUGGCCCCUGCGAAAGGAUGACAGGCAAAUUCGUGAAGUGUCCCGUAUUUUG